GACGAACGCUGGCGGCGUGCCUAAUACAUGCAAGUAGAACGCUGAAGAGAGGAGCUUGCUCUUCUUGAAUGAGUUGCGAACGGGUGAGUAACGCGUAGGUAACCUGCCUUGUAGCGGGGGAUAACUAUUGGAAACGAUAGCUAAUACCGCAUAACAAUGGAUGACCCAUGUCAUUUAUUUGAAAGGGGCAAAUGCUCCACUACAAGAUGGACCUGCGUUGUAUUAGCUAGUAGGUGAGGUAACGGCUCACCUAGGCGACGAUACAUAGCCGACCUGAGAGGGUGAUCGGCCACACUGGGACUGAGACACGGCCCAGACUCCUACGGGAGGCAGCAGUAGGGAAUCUUCGGCAAUGGGGGCAACCCUGACCGAGCAACGCCGCGUGAGUGAAGAAGGUUUUCGGAUCGUAAAGCUCUGUUGUAAGUCAAGAACGAGUGUGAGAGUGGAAAGUUCACACUGUGACGGUAGCUUACCAGAAAGGGACGGCUAACUACGUG
This 497-nucleotide ribosomal RNA is filed under the name uncultured bacterium. RNAcentral's name for it is "partial 16S ribosomal RNA". It matches the Rfam family "Bacterial small subunit ribosomal RNA", at positions 28 to 507 of the family's 1533-position model. The record is from RNAcentral.